GGUAAAUCAUUCAUUUUACUGAACGGAGACAACCCUGGGUACUAAUUAGAACGUGGAACACUUGGAACACUGUGUAACCAUCCGAAAAACGCAGACUAAUUGAAUGUUCCUAGGUGGCCGCCAUUUCGUGCAUAUGAACGCACGUGUUGAGAACAAUGGACGGCAGCCAUCUUGGCUCCUUAACAAGGCCAGCGGGACUUGGUCGUCGAGUGCCUGGAACUGUUUUGGGCAUAGCACUCGCACGAACACCCGGUGUCUAUGGAAGUCCCAUACGUACCACUUCCCCAUACGGUAGACAAACGGCGUUCGGGAGUUUCAAAACACACAAACAAGAGGAGCAUUCUACAUG
Molecule: non-coding RNA, 349 nt
Organism: Pelobates cultripes (western spadefoot toad)
Lineage: Eukaryota; Metazoa; Chordata; Amphibia; Anura; Pelobatidae
Source: the annotation of a GenBank genome assembly